RNAcentral lists this ribosomal RNA (400 nucleotides) under uncultured Latescibacterota bacterium. RNAcentral describes it as "bacterial SSU rRNA". It matches the Rfam family "Bacterial small subunit ribosomal RNA", at positions 984 to 1382 of the family's 1533-position model. Lineage: Bacteria; Pseudomonadati; Candidatus Latescibacterota. The record is from RNAcentral.
ACAUGCAGGUGAUCGCCGUUGAAAGACGGUUUCCUCUUCGGAGGCACCUGCACAGGUGCUGCAUGGCUGUCGUCAGCUCGUGUCGUGAGAUGUUGGGUUAAGUCCCGCAACGAGCGCAACCCUUAUCCCUAGUUGCCAUCAGGUAAAGCUGGGAACUCUGGGGAGACUGCCGGUGAUAAACCGGAGGAAGGCGGGGAUGACGUCAAGUCCUCAUGGCCCUUACAUCCCGGGCUACACACGUGCUACAAUGGCAGGUACAGAGGGCUGCGAAGCCGCGAGGUGGAGCGAAUCCCAGAAAACCUGUCUCAGUCCGGAUUGAAGUCUGCAACUCGACUUCAUGAAGGCGGAAUCGCUAGUAACCGCGAAUCAGCAGGUCGCGGUGAAUACGUUCCCGGGCCUU